This 256-nucleotide ribosomal RNA is filed under the name uncultured bacterium. RNAcentral describes it as "partial 16S ribosomal RNA". It matches the Rfam family "Bacterial small subunit ribosomal RNA", at positions 793 to 1055 of the family's 1533-position model. The record is from RNAcentral.
GUCCUAGCCUAACGAUCAGGACUUGGGUGCCGCACGUUCGUGCGUCGUCCCGGAGCUAACGCGUUAAGUCCUGCACCUGGGAGUACGGUCGCAAGACUGAACUCAAGGAAUUGACGGGCCCGCACAAGCGGUGGAACAUGUGGUUCAAUUCGACGCUACGCGAGGAACCUUACCUGGGCUCGAAAUGCUUCUGACCAGCUGUAGAAAUACGGCCUUCCCGCAAGGGACAGGAGUAUAGGCGCUGCAUGGCUGUCGU